AACCAGCACCUCAAGUGGUCAGGAUGAUUAUUGGGCCUAAAGCAUCCGUAGCCUGUUUUGUCAGUCUUCGGUUAAAUCCAUCAACUCAAGACAUGGGCUGCCGGAGAUACUGCAGAGCUAGGGAAUGGGAGAGGUAGACGGUACUCGGUAGGAAGGGGUAAAAUCCUUUGAUCUAUUGAUGACCACCUGUGGCGAAGGCGGUCUACCAGAACACGUUCGACGGUGAGGGAUGAAAGCUGGGGGAGCAAACCGG
Molecule: ribosomal RNA, 253 nt
Filed under: uncultured archaeon
Lineage: Archaea
Description: partial 16S ribosomal RNA
Rfam family: Archaeal small subunit ribosomal RNA
Source: RNAcentral